GUCGAGCGGUAAGGCCUUUCGGGGUACACGAGCGGCGAACGGGUGAGUAACACGUGGGUGAUCUGCCCUGCACUCUGGGAUAAGCCUGGGAAACUGGGUCUAAUACCGGAUAUGACCUGCUCUCGCAUGGGGGUGGGUGGAAAGAUUUAUCGGUGCAGGAUGGGCCCGCGGCCUAUCAGCUUGUUGGUGGGGUAAUGGCCUACCAAGGCGACGACGGGUAGCCGACCUGAGAGGGUGACCGGCCACACUGGGACUGAGACACGGCCCAGACUCCUACGGGAGGCAGCAGUGGGGAAUAUUGCACAAUGGGCGAAAGCCUGAUGCAGCGACGCCGCGUGAGGGAUGAAGGCCUUCGGGUUGUAAACCUCUUUCAGCAGGGACGAAGCGUGAGUGACGGUACCUGCAGAAGAAGCACCGGCUAACUACGUGCCAGCAGCCGCGGUAAUACGUAGGGUGCGAGCGUUGUCCGGAAUUACUGGGCGUAAAGAGUUCGUAGGCGGUUUGUCGCGUCGUUUGUGAAAACCCGGGGCUCAACUUCGGGCUUGCAGGCGAUACGGGCAGACUUGAGUGUUUCAGGGGAGACUGGAAUUCCUGGUGUAGCGGUGAAAUGCGCAGAUAUCAGGAGGAACACCGGUGGCGAAGGCGGGUCUCUGGGAAACAACUGACGCUGAGGAACGAAAGCGUGGGUAGCAAAC
This 695-nucleotide ribosomal RNA is filed under the name Rhodococcus sp. (in: high G+C Gram-positive bacteria). Its description in RNAcentral is "bacterial SSU rRNA". It matches the Rfam family "Bacterial small subunit ribosomal RNA", at positions 61 to 773 of the family's 1533-position model. The record is from RNAcentral. Lineage: Bacteria; Bacillati; Actinomycetota; Actinomycetes; Mycobacteriales; Nocardiaceae.